AUUGUUCCCAGGUUAAAAGACAAAAUGUUUUCUGAAAUCCUUUUUUCUCUUUGCAGGAGAAGGCUACCAUAAAGAUGAAGAAAAAUGAUGAGAAGAGAACACAAGAAAAAGGACUCAGACUGGACAAGAUGGAAAGCAUUAUAGAUCUUACAACUACGUUGGCAUCUGCCAUGUGUAAACAGUAUGAUCAGCAUUAGGACAAGAAGACCUGAAGGAAUUUCCUGAGGUCAUUACAUCCAUUUUUCUGACUUAGAGAAGGUCUGUAACAACCCAGACAAAACAAUUACUCACCCAGCCUGUUUCUCAUCUCACCAAGGGGAAAGACUAGGAUUGGAAAUAACUGCUACGAAGCCUCAAAAGAAUUACUCCAUAUAUAAUAAAACACCAG
This 388-nucleotide long non-coding RNA is filed under the name Vulpes vulpes (red fox). RNAcentral describes it as "lncRNA (ENSVVUG00000013430.1)". The record is from RNAcentral. Lineage: Eukaryota; Metazoa; Chordata; Mammalia; Carnivora; Canidae.